This 468-nucleotide ribosomal RNA is filed under the name uncultured bacterium. RNAcentral describes it as "partial 16S ribosomal RNA". It matches the Rfam family "Bacterial small subunit ribosomal RNA", at positions 28 to 507 of the family's 1533-position model. The record is from RNAcentral.
GACGAACGCUGGCGGCGUGCUUAAUACAUGCAAGUCGAACGGAAAGGCCCUGCUCUUGCGGGGCGCUCGAGUGGCGAACGGGUGAGUAACACGUGAGUAACCUGCCCUUGACUUUGGGAUAACUCCAGGAAACAGGGGCUCUUACCGGAUAGGAGCUCCUGCUGCACGGUGGGGGUUGGUAAGAUUCGGCGGUUGGGGAUGGACUCGCGGCUUAUCCGCUUGUUUGUGAGGUAGGGGCUUACCAGGGCUUUGACGGGUAGCCCGCCUGGGAGGCGGGCCGGCCACAAGAGGACUGAGGUAGGGACCAGACGCCAACGGGAGGCAGCAGUGGGGAAUAUUGCGCAGUGGGCGGGAGCCUGAUGCAGCAGCGCCGCGAGCGUGAAGACGGGCUUCGGGUUAUGAACCGCUGUCGACGUUGCCAUAGCGUGAGUGACGGUAAUGGGUAAAGAAGCACCGGCUAACUACGUG